CCAAUAGCGUAUAUUAAAGUUGUUGCAGUUAAAAAGCUCGUAGUUGAAUUUUAGGCCUGGCCGGACGGUCCGUCUUUGGCGAGAACUGUUCUGUUGUCGGGUCAUCCUUCUGGUGAACCAGUAUGCCCUUAAUUGGGUGUGUUGGGGAGCCAGGACCAUUACCUUGAAAAAAUUAGAGUGUUUAAAGCGGGCUAUUGCUUGAAUAGAUUAGCAUGGAAUAAUAGAAUAGGACGUUGUGGUUCUAUUUUGUUGGUUUCUAGGACCACCGUAAUGAUUAAUAGGGAUAGUUGGGGGCAUUAGUAUUCAAUUGUCAGAGGUGAAAUUCUUGGAUUUAUUGAAGACUAACUAUUGCGAAAGCAUUUGCCAAGGAUGUUUUCAUUAAUCAAGAACGAAAGUUAGGGGAUCGAAGACGAUCAGAUACCGUCGUAGUCUUAACCAUAAACUAUGCCGACUAGGAAUCGGGCGUCGUUAUUUUCACGACUCGCUCGGCGCCUUAUG
RNAcentral lists this ribosomal RNA (498 nucleotides) under uncultured Glomeromycotina. RNAcentral describes it as "partial small subunit ribosomal RNA". It matches the Rfam family "Eukaryotic small subunit ribosomal RNA", at positions 591 to 1092 of the family's 1831-position model. Lineage: Eukaryota; Fungi; Glomeromycota. The record is from RNAcentral.